CCUACGGGUGGCAGCAGUAGGGAAUAUUGCUCAAUGGGGGAAACCCUGAAGCAGCAACGCCGCGUGGAGGAUGAAGGUUUUCGGAUUGUAAACUUCUUUUGUGAGAGAAGAUAAUGACGGUAUCUCACGAAUAAGCACCGGCUAACUCCGUGCCAGCAGCCGCGGUAAUACGGAGGGUGCAAGCGUUAUUCGGAAUCACUGGGCGUAAAGCGUGCGUAGGCGGGCUUGUAAGUCAGAAGUGAAAUGCUGUAGCUUAACUACAGAACUGCAUUUGAAACUCUGCGUCUAGAGUGUAGGAGAGGUAGGUGGAAUGCUUGGUGUAGGGGUAAAAUGCGUAGAUAUUAAGAGGAAUACUCAUUGCGAAGGCGACCUACUGGAACAUUACUGACGCUCAUGCACGAAAGCGUGGGGAGCAAACAGGAGUAGAUACCCCAGUAGUC
RNAcentral lists this ribosomal RNA (440 nucleotides) under uncultured bacterium. Its description in RNAcentral is "partial 16S ribosomal RNA". It matches the Rfam family "Bacterial small subunit ribosomal RNA", at positions 338 to 795 of the family's 1533-position model. The record is from RNAcentral.